This 279-nucleotide ribosomal RNA is filed under the name uncultured bacterium. RNAcentral's name for it is "partial 16S ribosomal RNA". It matches the Rfam family "Bacterial small subunit ribosomal RNA", at positions 506 to 784 of the family's 1533-position model. The record is from RNAcentral.
UGCCAGCAGCCGCGGUAAUACGGGGGGUCCUAACGUUGUUCGGAAUCAUUGGGCGUAAAGCGGGUGUAGGCGGAAUGGAUAGUCAGAUGUGAAAGCCCCGGGCUCAACCCGGGAAGUGCAUUUGAUACUUCCAUUCUUGAGUAUCUGAGAGGUUAGUGGAAUUCCUGGUGUAGAGGUGAAAUUCGUAGAUAUCAGGAGGAACAUCGGUGGGGAAGCCGGCUGACUGGCAGAAUACUGACGCUCAGACCCGAAAGCGUGGGGAGCAAACAGGAUUAGAUA